AGAGUUUGAUCCUGGCUCAGGGUUAACGCUGGCGGCGUGCCUAACACAUGCAAGUCGAACGGUUCUAAGCGCGAGCUUAGGAUAGUGGCGAACGGGUGAGUAAAAGGUAGGAAUCUACCCCUUGGACGGAGAUAGCUACUGGAAACGGUAGGUAAACUUCGAUAAGCCCGAGAGGGGAAAGUGGUGAGACAGCCGAGGGAUGAGCCUACUCUCCAUCAGGUAGUUGGUGAGAUAAAAGCUUACCAAGCCGAUGACGGAUAACCGGUGUGAGAGCAUGAACGGUCACAAGGGCACUGAGAGACGGACCCUACUCCUACGGGAGGCAGCAGUGGGGAAUCUUGGACAAUGGGCGAAAGCCUGAUCCAGCGACGCCGCGUGGAGGAAGAAGUCCUUCGGGAUGUAAACUUCUGAACUAGCCGAAUAAAAGGCCUGUGGACACACAGGAGAAGAAAGUAGGCUAGGAAAAGUCCCGGCUAACUACGUGCCAGCAGCCGCGGUAAGACGUAGGGGGCAAGCGUUACCCGGAAUUACUGGGCGUAAAGGGGGCGUAGGCGGUAAAAGAAGUCAUCUGUGAAAACCUAUUGCUCAACGAUAGGCUAGCGGAUGAAACUGAAUUACUUGAGGGCACCAGAGGUAGACGGAAUUACCCGAGUAGGGGUGAAAUCCGCAGAUACGGGUAGGAACGCCGGUGGAGAAGUCGGUCUACUGGGGUGCACCAGACGCUGAGGCCCGAAAGCUAGGGGAGCAAACCGGAUUAGAUACCCGGGUAGUCCUAGCCGUAAACGAUGCUCACUAGGUGUAGGGAGUGAUAAACUCUCUGUGCUGAAGCGAACGCGCUAAGUGAGCCGCCUGGGGAGUACGUCCGCAAGGAUGAAACUCAAAGGAAUUGACGGGGGUCCGCACAAGCGGUGGAGCAUGUGGUUUAAUUCGAUGGUAACCGAAGAACCUUACCAGGGAUUGACAUGUAACUGAAGGUAGAGAAAUCUACUGGCCUGCUGCAAAGCGGGAGGUUACACAGGUGGUGCACGGCCGUCGUCAGCUCGUGCCGUGAGGUGUUGGGUUAAGUCCCGCAACGAGCGCAACCC
Molecule: ribosomal RNA, 1085 nt
Filed under: uncultured bacterium
Lineage: Bacteria
Description: bacterial SSU rRNA
Rfam family: Bacterial small subunit ribosomal RNA
Source: RNAcentral